Carassius auratus (goldfish) is the source of this 508-nucleotide long non-coding RNA. RefSeq lists it as uncharacterized. The record is from RefSeq and is a predicted model, not a curated record. The transcript has 3 exons. NCBI's taxonomy places the organism in Eukaryota, Metazoa, Chordata, Actinopteri, Cypriniformes, Cyprinidae.
UUUUUUUUAUUUUUUUUGUAAUACCCAAUAGUUGCCAGAUGCUGUCCUGUUGAAAAUUCUUCUUUACGUGAUCCUGGAGGAGGGGUGAUGCUACAUUACUAAGUCCGUCUUUGGUUUGUUCCAAAUUCAGAAGUCUGCUGUACUGUAUACAGACUCCUUUCGAAAGAGGGCACAAUCCAGCUGGCUUGACUGAGUAUCUUCUUUUACAGAUUUGAUUAGAGGUUUAAAAAGGUGGAACAAAAUGGAGAACAAGUCUAAGCCAUGUCAGGAAUUCAACAAAAUGUACACUCUGCAGACACUGCGACGAGGUUUACAACAACUGCUUACCAGGUCACUGCAGUCACCCGGAUAGAGUACGUAUCCAGACCAGAUGGUGGAUCGCACCUAGAAAGGACCUCUACAGCCCUGAAAGACAGCGGAGACCAGGACAACUAGAGCCCCAGAUACAGAUCCCCUGUAAAGACCUUGUUUUUUCUCCAUUUUGUCACCGGUGGAGUUUUGGUUCCUU